Molecule: long non-coding RNA, 399 nt
Organism: Epinephelus moara (kelp grouper)
Lineage: Eukaryota; Metazoa; Chordata; Actinopteri; Perciformes; Serranidae
Exons: 4
Source: RefSeq, a predicted model, not a curated record
CAGUCGUCCAGUAUUUACCUCCAGUUGGCCCUCAUGCUCUUCUGUCCUCCGACGUCCCACACAGUCAGAGACGUCUUCUUGUCGAGGUCCAGAGAUCCCACAUUGAACCCGAUGGUCGGAGACGUCUCCAUCACCUUCAGGAGGCGGGCUAACAGAGUCGACUUCCCAGCAGAGUCCAAACCCAUCAGGAUCACCUGGACGCACAGACACACCUGUUACUUUUGAGAACAUGUUCUCCGUCCCUGACCAGUGACUGUCAGGCAGUGGGGUAAUGCCGAGCUCCGUGUGUCUGGCUGAAACUCACCUGUCUGACAUCUCUCAGGUGUGUUCAGCUUCAUUGAAGCCCAGGGCCAAUCAGCGCGCAGCGUCCAAUCACAGCAGGUCAUGUGACAGUGGGAC